GAGUCCAUGCAAUCAUCAAAUGAUUGGUUCUAGGGCUCUAACUAACAGGAAGAUCUUCCACCAUUGGGUCAUCUCCCUUUUCUGAUGGACAUAUUUUUUUAAAACCUUCUAGUAAGAAGAAUUGGUGCCAAAUUUUAUGGGGAUGCUAAUAUGGUUUUCCUUGUUACUAAAAAACAAUUUGUUGUCGGAGAUUUUUGAGAACUUAGUUGAAUUUAAAAUUAUACAAAAUUUAAAUUCACUUAACUGUUGAAAUGACCUGAGCUGAUAAUCUCAGGUUGCGAGCUGGUGUCUGCCAAGUGCUUAACGCAUGCUUCACAGUGUUUGACCGGGCGAGUUAGUUGCCGACCGGGCGAGUUAGCUGCCAACCGAGCGAAAUAGGUUAAGGUCGACCGAGCGAAUUGAAGGCUUCUGCCGACCGAGCGAAGAGGCCAAGGCCGACUGAAUAAAGAAUCCGACCAAGCGAAGUGGCCGAUCGAGCGAAGCUUAAGGCCGACCAAACGAAUCGAAGGCUUCUGCUGAAUAGCAGAGCGGCGAACUGAGAGAUACCCGACUGCUAUCACGGGCAUUCCACUGAGUAAGAAAUGCACGAUAGAGGAGAUAGGGAACGUAGGUAGAGAUUCAGCUUUUCGUGCGUGUUACCUUUUGCCUGUGGUCGUAGCCUCCUUAUAUAAGAGUUGAAGACCAAAGGGCAGUGUUAAUGAUCGUUUAAAGAUCAUUAUUCGCCAACGUUUCACUCGACUACAUUAAUUUUUACCUGGCAAAAUGUUGAUUGUUCCACUUGGACAAAUUUUGUCGACCGGCCUGACCAGUCCAGCAUUCGGCGUGCACGGAUUGUGCCUGUAUACGAGUCAAAAUGGUUCAGUGCAAUCCAAGCCUUGGAUUUGCACCCCCUGCACACCCACACAUGAGAGAGAGCUUCUCCCCAUACAAUUGUUCAUAUCCUCAAUGCAUGUGAAUCAAUAUAAACUAACCAACAUGCCUUGAAACUCUCAAUGUGGAACUAAAGUCUCAUUCACAAUGGAGCUCCAUGUCUCUUCCACCUCUUCUCCAUUCACAUAUAUCCAACAUUCCCUUCACUACAAGAACUAACAUUUCAUGACUUGAAUAAAUGGGAGGAGUUGUCUGAAUCAGACAGUAGGCCAAUUUUUCCUUUCCUUAGAAAAAUGAGAACAGCAAAUUGCCUUGAGCUAAGAAGAAUCCCUGUUCUCCCUUUGAUAUCAAUGAAACAGCUUGAUAUUUGGAAUUCCGGUGAUAUUGGCAAUGCCCUACCUGACUACUUGCUAACUUUAACCUCUCUAACAUUGCUGGAGUUAAGAAGUUGUGCACAAAGAGCAUCUGUGUCUCUAUACAACCUUAGAUUCCUUGAGUACUUAAGACUGGUUCAAUGCCCAGAGUUGAGCUUAAUUUGUGGAUUACAGUCUUGCAAAUCUGAAAGACAUAAUUAUUGAUAAAUGCCCAAGGCUAACUGAACCUGCACAGAUGCCAGCGCAACCAUAUGUUGAACAGGAUUUGACGUCUCUGUGUACCGUUUGGAUUGAUGAUAUUGUUCUCAAACAUGUUUGGGCAAUACUAGGAAGGACCCCAUGUAUUCAGGCUCUCAGAAUCCAACAUUAUAAUGAUCUUUCUUGCUUCAACCCUGAGCAAGAGGAGUGAUUUCAGCAACUGACUGCCCUAAAUCUCCUUGAGUUCGAUGACUGUCCAAAACUACAAAAGCUGCCUUCUUCCAUGGGAACUGCCUCCUCCAUCAAGAUUUUAAGCAUUCACCAUUGCCCAAAUAUUGAGUCACUGCCCAUUAAUGGCCUGCCAUCCUUGCUUCAAAAAUUGGAGAUGUACGGAUGCAUUAAAUUGACAGACCGAUGCAGGAAGGAUGAUGGGUCAGAUUGGCCACUAAUUUCAUAUAUCCCCAACAUCCAUAUUGAUGGUGAAUCAAUACAGUAUAAAUAACAACAAUACCAAGGAGACUGGAGUUGGUUAAGUACAGAAUGGAUUCAAAUAGGAAGCAAAAUUCAUAGCAUGAGGAAGGCCUCAGUAAAGUUGGGGGUUGCUUGCUGAAGGUAAAGCUACUCAGAUCAGGACCAUUCAAUUUGAGCUGAGUUUUCAAAGGUUGCAUUAGACAUAUUAAAUUUGAUGAAGGCUAAAGGUAUACAAGGGCAACCAAUGCAAACAUGCGCAGGUGUAAUUAAUUAUCAUGUAAGUAAAGAUACAGUUACUUUGCAUUUGCUAUUAACUUUGUUUAAUAUUGGGGAUGCAUAACUCGUGUCCUGCAUGCAUACUCUGUAAAGCAUGGAGUAUUAUGUUUUCUGGAGUUGCCAUGUCACAAGAGUAGCAUGACAGAUUUGGCCCAACUCAACAAUGAGAUCAAUGGCAUGAGAUGUGAGAAGAAGAGUGGGUUGGAAACAGGGGCUGUGCCUUUUCCCUUACCUCACCUGAUCAGCCUGAUCAGCUCUUUGCAACCUCUUCUGUUGCAGCCAGUAUUAAAAUAGGAACUCGGAGGACUGUGUGUUGAAAAAAUCUUGUGGGAGUCCUUCCCUCCUUCGGACAUUGAUGAGAUACUAUCACAAAAUGAGGAACCGCCACAUCAACGGCUCCUUAGAGCAGGUCCCACGGAUAUGGAGGGAUACUAUCACGGCCACACAUCUGGUGGAUUACUCCUCUAGGAAGGACCUGUACUUCCGCCUCCUCGUCGAUGUGGCAAAACUGAGCUUCCAAUUUGAUAGGUCAAUGGGGAAUAAGACUCACAUGCUAUCUCUGGAAACCAUGUAUACCCUGGAUCCUCAUCCUCAGCAUUGUCGAUGGAUUUCUCUUCCACGCUCCUGGUAAAUUCUAGCUUGUUUCUUUAAAAAAAUUUGCUUUACCUUCUAUUGCAACUAUUUUUAAGGAAGAGCAUUGUCGCACUUUUACCCUCUUUUCAAAAUGCUCACAUAGUUUUAAAAUCGUUUAAAUAUCUCCUUUUCCUUUCAAAGAAUUAGUUUACCUGAUGAAAGAUUGACAUGGCGAAUA
This is a long non-coding RNA of Zingiber officinale, 3000 nucleotides long. RefSeq lists it as uncharacterized. The record is from RefSeq and is a predicted model, not a curated record. NCBI's taxonomy places the organism in Eukaryota, Viridiplantae, Streptophyta, Magnoliopsida, Zingiberales, Zingiberaceae. The transcript has 3 exons.